GGGCAGGAAAUCCCUUCACCCACCACACUGUGGUCCCUGUAGUAGGCACAACUAAAGUAUCACGGAAAUUAAGAAGGGAAUAAGGAAGCUUUUCCAGGAUGUGCUGCCAUAACUUCCUAUAACUCCAUCUCUGCUUUACUUCGGAAUACCAUGAGAAUCAGCAAUUUCUAAAAACUGCUUUCUAAACGCUCAGGAUCCCAAUAGGAAUUUGCUCUUCCCACCAAAAUAAGCUUCUGAUGCCCUCCUAUCACCAGAGAACACAGAGAACAGACCCCGCUGAGAAAUGUCUCCAUCAGAGAGCUGAAACACACACACAGAAUUCUAACAAGGUUGGGAAGCCAGAAAGCUGCAGCCGCCACAGACAUUACUAUUAGCAAAUUUAGCGAGCAUUCAUUAUUUGGCAGAACACAUUAAAAAGAAGAAAAUCCUCCCAAGACAUCACUGAUAAAGCCUCCUUAAAUAAAGACUGUAGUUAGAGCAAUUGAAAAGUCAAAAAGAAAGGACCUCCUGGAGUUACAAGGAAGGGCCUCAAAGCAAGAGGCUGACAUUCCAGGAGAGACAGAGAAACAUGGAACAUGCCAGAACAUAA
RNAcentral lists this long non-coding RNA (589 nucleotides) under Equus caballus (horse). RNAcentral describes it as "lncRNA (ENSECAG00000054198.1)". The record is from RNAcentral. Lineage: Eukaryota; Metazoa; Chordata; Mammalia; Perissodactyla; Equidae.